This 280-nucleotide ribosomal RNA is filed under the name uncultured Staphylococcus sp. RNAcentral describes it as "partial 16S ribosomal RNA". It matches the Rfam family "Bacterial small subunit ribosomal RNA", at positions 505 to 784 of the family's 1533-position model. Lineage: Bacteria; Bacillati; Bacillota; Bacilli; Caryophanales; Staphylococcaceae. The record is from RNAcentral.
GUGCCAGCAGCCGCGGUAAUACGUAGGUGGCAAGCGUUAUCCGGAAUUAUUGGGCGUAAAGCGCGCGUAGGCGGUUUUUUAAGUCUGAUGUGAAAGCCCACGGCUCAACCGUGGAGGGUCAUUGGAAACUGGAAAACUUGGGUGCAGAAGAGGAAAGUGGAAUUCCAUGUGUAGCGGUGAAAUGCGCAGAGAUAUGGAGGAACACCAGUGGCGAAGGCGACUUUCUGGUCUGUAACUGACGCUGAUGUGCGAAAGCGUGGGGAUCAAACAGGAUUAGAUA